GUGUUCGCUUUGAUAACACAUAUACUAAAAUUGGAAAGAUACAGAGAAGAUUAGCAUGGCCCCUGUGCAAGGAUGAUAUGCAAAUUCGUGAAGCGUUUCAUAUUUAA
Molecule: small nuclear RNA, 107 nt
Organism: Suncus etruscus (white-toothed pygmy shrew)
Lineage: Eukaryota; Metazoa; Chordata; Mammalia; Eulipotyphla; Soricidae
Source: RefSeq, a predicted model, not a curated record